CAUGGGUAUCCUUGUGUUCAGAAUUGCAAAGAUGAUUGUGCCAAAACGAAAUAUAUUGAAGUUGUAAAAAGGAGAUUCAUAAGCGAACUUACUCGAAAUGAAGGAGAUUACGAACGCGAAAGCCAUUUGAUUAAAGUAGAAAUCUAUCUUGAAGAUUCUGAAGUUGUAACAUUCCGUCAUCGCCCUCAAUAUCUG
This is a long non-coding RNA of Argiope bruennichi, 195 nucleotides long. RefSeq lists it as uncharacterized. The record is from RefSeq and is a predicted model, not a curated record. Lineage: Eukaryota; Metazoa; Arthropoda; Arachnida; Araneae; Araneidae. The transcript has 4 exons.